AACCCAGAACAUGAAGUUCAAAAGGAUAAUGGAAUUUAUGGGGAAUAAACUAGAUGAAGAUCCUGUCAAAAGAAUUGUUCAGCACACAUCUUUUGAAAGUAAGAAGAAAAACCAGAUGACCAACUAUGUAAUGAUAACCUGUGACAUCAUGGACCACUCCAUCUCCCCAUUUAUGAGGAAAGGGACCGUUGGAGAGUGGAAGGAUUACUUCUCAGCAGCACAGAAUAAGAGAUUUGAUGAAGACUAGGGAGGAAAAUGGCUGACUCUUCUCUGACCUUCCACACGGAGCUCUAA
This 294-nucleotide long non-coding RNA is filed under the name Homo sapiens (human). RNAcentral describes it as "non-protein coding lnc-SULT1C2-2:1". The record is from RNAcentral. Lineage: Eukaryota; Metazoa; Chordata; Mammalia; Primates; Hominidae.